This is a long non-coding RNA of Balaenoptera ricei (Rice's whale), 569 nucleotides long. RefSeq lists it as uncharacterized. NCBI's taxonomy places the organism in Eukaryota, Metazoa, Chordata, Mammalia, Artiodactyla, Balaenopteridae. The record is from RefSeq and is a predicted model, not a curated record. The transcript has 2 exons.
GCGCGCAGCUGGCGGCGGCUGCAGGCGCUAAACACUCGCGGGAACGGGUGCCUACGGGCCGGGGAGGGCGUCGGGCGUGCGGGGACCACCCCCUGUCAACCCCUGCUCGUCUCCAAUCCCCUCCCCCCGGCACACAGGUGCUUGGCUACGCAGCCGCCAGAUGCGCGAACACCGCCUGAGCAACUGGCGGCUAGAAUUCUCUAGAGGCAGAGCCCAGAGAGGGGCUCUUCCCCCCGCCGACCCAACCUGAUCCACAUAGCUGGCGACCUCCAGAAGACGCUGUUUGGUGUGGUUCAAGUUCCGGUGCUGGGUCAAGAACUAGAAAAGCAGCAAGCAAUACCGCGUGUGAGGACGGGCUGAGCUCACCCCAUCCAGGCCUGCCAACCCCCUUGGGACUUCUCUCACCAGAGUGUGAUCCGCCACUAUGUACAGCUCCAGAUACCUCGGGCUCCCCAGGGACUCCCGCCUCUCCUGGGGAGGCGGUAAUGGUGACCCUGAGUGGCGGGCUGUUGGGCUUGAGCCCUGACCACCAACCCCAAUUCCCAUAAAGCACAAAGUUAACUUUAAAA